UACCCACAACUCCCCGGGCUCGCGCGCCCUCUCCUUAUGCGCCUGCGCCCGCCAUAGUCCCACCCCCAAAUCCCGUGGGCCUCUGCGAGGUGGUAUUUAAGUAUGUCGCUACAGGCCUUCGGUCUCAUUUUUCCGCGGCGUUCGGGUUCGGGCGCACUUGGAACGCUGACGAAUGGAGAGGAGCCGACUUGUUAGGAUGUGGUUCAGCUCGAAAGACCUUACAGGCUGGAGGAUGGGACAAGACCUGUCGUGCAGCCUAGGCAUUACGGUAAUGCUCCAGCAUCUCAUCACUAGGCCUGAGGAAUCCACCUGCCUCCCAGGGUGAAUACAGGUUGUCCUGAUGGUGACACAUUCCUCUAUCUUAAAGCUCCAUGCCCAACGUGGGGCUCAAACUCAUGACCUCGAGUCGAAUGCUCCACCAACUGAGCCAGCCAGGCGUCUCUUGAUCAAUUUCUUGUAGAUGUUCAUUGAUGAUUCUGCCCAGGGUUGAGCUUUCGGAGAGCGUUAAGGAUGCCCCAGAGCCAGUAAUGGUGAACCCACUGGGGCUAACUGGGAGAAAGGAUGAGAAUUUGUUCGUAAGGAACUGUCUGAGGUACAGUGUAUGCCUGUCAGUAGCAUCUGCUUGGCUUUUCUUAGUUUAAAUCCAUUAAUCAUAGUUGGAAUGGAUGUGGCUGUUUUAGAUCCUUCACUUAAUUAUGUAAUCUUCUCUUUCAGGAGCAGCUUGUUCUGUGUGCUGCCCAAAAGCCUCCAGAGUUAACAGGUGCUGUUAACCCAUUAACCUGCUUGUUUGCGCAAAGGUCCAGUGCCUUGUGUGGAGCCCAAGAAUGAUUUGAGCAAUAGGGACCGGAGAUGUUUGAGAGGCUUAGUUCUCAAUCUUCUGCAGGAACCCUCAGCCGUUUUUCUGCUUAGCUCCAGUCUGAAGUCAGAGGUGUGAAAAAAGAACAAGGCCCAUAUCACAGGAAUCCACUUCAGGGAUACCAAAAGGAAGUCUUCAGGUCAUUUUUUGUACAACCUAGCUGUGGAAAUUAGCAUACAAUUGUUUUAGCCUUUCUAAAUAAAAGUUUAACCUUCA
Molecule: long non-coding RNA, 1072 nt
Organism: Mirounga angustirostris (Northern elephant seal)
Lineage: Eukaryota; Metazoa; Chordata; Mammalia; Carnivora; Phocidae
Exons: 12
Source: RefSeq, a predicted model, not a curated record